AUGGCUGUUUUUGGUACCCGUGGCGUGGGGAGCGCCGGUCAGCCCGGCGGACCUUUGAGAUAUGGAAGAUCUAAAAGCCUCUGUAAGAUUUUGGUUCUGCAGAAGCCAAUGAUCUGGCACGCUGGGACCUUAACUUCUGGAGUGAACGACUGCGGGAAGCAAAAUACAAUAUUGAUGAGCUUCUUUCUUUACAGAAGUAUAUUAGAAUUAUUGAUGAAAUUAGCUCCUGGCCAUUGCAUCAUUGCAUACUUGUUGGAAUUUGAUUUGCUCAUUAAUCAUAGAUUUAAACUUUUUAGGUCUGAUGUAUGGGAAAAUUAUUUGCAUUCCUCAUCUAUCAUAGAUAUAUUGACAUAUUGCUCUCCUUCAAGGCAUUGUUGGCUAAGAUGUUAUUAUAUAUACGCGACAUGUUAUUGGUUGAAUAUGAUUCAUACUUUACAAACUCCUUAA
RNAcentral lists this ribosomal RNA (447 nucleotides) under Triticum aestivum (bread wheat). RNAcentral's name for it is "partial small subunit ribosomal RNA". The record is from RNAcentral. Lineage: Eukaryota; Viridiplantae; Streptophyta; Magnoliopsida; Poales; Poaceae.